UACCGGCUGGUGGGAGAGUGUUGCCGGGGCUUAAUUCGCCCGGGCAGCCGCCGAAGGGGCAAAACCUUUUAAACCAGGUUGAAACUCUCAGGCAAAAGGACCGCCAUAACCGG
This 113-nucleotide non-coding RNA is filed under the name Dethiosulfatarculus sandiegensis. RNAcentral describes it as "Glycine sequence". It matches the Rfam family "Glycine riboswitch aptamer". From Rfam's summary of the family: This family represents the bacterial glycine riboswitch. Glycine riboswitches usually consist of two metabolite-binding aptamers domains with similar structures in tandem. The record is from Rfam by way of RNAcentral. Lineage: Bacteria; Pseudomonadati; Thermodesulfobacteriota; Desulfarculia; Desulfarculales; Desulfarculaceae.